GGUAUGGGAUGAGCUUGCGUCCGAUUAGCUAGUUGGCGGGGCAACGGCCCACCAAGGCGACGAUCGGUAGCCGGCCUGAGAGGGUGAUCGGCCACAUUGGGACUGAGAUACGGCCCAGACUCCUACGGGAGGCAGCAGUAGGGAAUAUUGCACAAUGGGGGGAACCCUGAUGCAGCAACGCCACGUGUGGGAAGAAGCAUUUCGGUGUGUAAACCACUGUCGUGAGGGAAUAAUACGCGGUUUCGGCCGCGGGGGAAUGUACCUCGAAAGGAAGCACCGGCAAACUUCGUGCCAGCAGCCGCGGUAAUACGAGGGGUGCAAGCGUUGUUCGGAAUCACUGGGCGUAAAGGGAGCGCAGGCGGAAGCUCAAGCGGAUUGUACAAUACCGGGGCCCAACCCCGGACCUGCAGUCCGAACUGGGUUUCUUGGAUAGUUCAGGGGCAGGC
RNAcentral lists this ribosomal RNA (446 nucleotides) under uncultured rumen bacterium. RNAcentral's name for it is "bacterial SSU rRNA". It matches the Rfam family "Bacterial small subunit ribosomal RNA", at positions 217 to 662 of the family's 1533-position model. The record is from RNAcentral.